GCCGGGCGCGGUGGCUCACGCCUGUAAUCCCAGCAGUUUGGGAGGCCGAGGCGGGUGGAUCACUUGAGGUCAGGAGUUCGAGACCAGCCUGGCCAACAUGGUGAAACCCCGUCUCUA
Molecule: small RNA, 117 nt
Filed under: Pongo abelii (Sumatran orangutan)
Lineage: Eukaryota; Metazoa; Chordata; Mammalia; Primates; Hominidae
Description: Metazoan signal recognition particle RNA (ENSPPYG00000034019.1)
Source: Rfam by way of RNAcentral